AUGCUGCUGCACAGGCACAAGUUCCCGCUCCUCUGCUGCGGCUGCGGUGGCGAUGGCGUCGCUACCGGCGUCGGCCCGCGAGGCGCAGCCAUCAACGACACCAACGUCCAGCAGACUGCCGGCAAGGGCGGCGCCAGGCAGCUGUCGUGGGCGCAGGUGGAGGCCAUGACGUCGGGCUUCACGUCGGCCGUGGUCGGCGAGGGCGGCUUCAGCACCGUCUACCUGGCGCGCCUCGCCGGCUCCGGAUCCUCCCAGCUCGCCGCCGUCAAGGUGCACCGCAGCAGCGAGCGCCUGCGCCGCGCCUUCCGGCAGGAGCUGGACGCGCUGCUCCGCGUCCGCCACCCGCACAUCGUCCGCCUCCUCGCCUUCUGCGACCAGCGCGACGAGGGCGUGCUCGUGCUCGAGUUCGCGCCCAACGGCAGCCUGCACGACCACCUCCACGGCCGCGACGGCGACGGCAACCAGGCCGCUCCCGCUGCCACGAUGCCGUGGGCGCGGCGCGCGGCCGUGGCGCUGCAGGUGGCGCGCGCGCUCGAGUACCUCCACGACCGGUGCGAGCCGCAGGUGGUGCACGGCGACGUCAAGGCCUCCAACGUGCUGCUGGACGCGGCCAUGGGCGCCCGCCUCUGCGACUUCGGCUCCGCGCGCGCCGGGUUCUCGGCCUCCGCGGCCGUCCGCACGCCGCGCGCCGUGCAGGGCUCGCCUGGGUACGUGGACCCGCACUACCUCCGCUCCGGCGUGCUCACAAAGAAGAGCGACGUGUACAGCCUGGGCGUGCUGCUCCUUGAGCUGCUCACCGGCACGCAGCCCUUCAGCGACGGCCGGCUCCUGACGUCCGCCGUCGCGCCGAUGAUCAAGGCCGGCUCGUGCUCGUGCGACGACGUGCCUAGGCUCGUCGACCAGAGGCUUGGGUGCCGGUAUGACGCGGACCAGGCGGCCACCGUGGCAACGCUGGCCGUGGCCUGCGUCGGGGAGAACCCGGCCCUCCGGCCGUCCAUGGCCGACGUGGUUCGGACCCUGGAGCAGAUCUCAGCCGCCGGGAGACGAUCGGACGGCGAAACCAAGCCGUGA
RNAcentral lists this ribosomal RNA (1071 nucleotides) under Triticum aestivum (bread wheat). RNAcentral's name for it is "partial small subunit ribosomal RNA". The record is from RNAcentral. Lineage: Eukaryota; Viridiplantae; Streptophyta; Magnoliopsida; Poales; Poaceae.